RNAcentral lists this ribosomal RNA (301 nucleotides) under uncultured bacterium. RNAcentral describes it as "partial 16S ribosomal RNA". It matches the Rfam family "Bacterial small subunit ribosomal RNA", at positions 509 to 807 of the family's 1533-position model. The record is from RNAcentral.
CAGUAGCCGCGGUAAUACGAAGGGUGCAAGCGUUAAUCGGAAUUACUGGGCGUAAAGCGUGCGUAGGCGGUUUGUUAAGUCUGUUGUGAAAUCCCCGGGCUCAACCUGGGAAUGGCAAUGGAUACUGGCAAGCUAGAGUGUGUCAGAGGAUGGUGGAACUCCCGGUGUAGCGGUGAAAUGCGUAGAGAUCGGGAGGAACAUCAGUGGCGAAGGCGGCCAUCUGGGACAACACUGACGCUGAGGCACGAAAGCGUGGGGAGCAAACAGGAUUAGAUACCCCAGUAGUCCCUGUCUCUUAUAC